UACGUAGGGUGCAAGCGUUAAUCGGAAUUACUGGGCGUAAAGCGUGCGCAGGCGGCUUUGCAAGACAGAUGUGAAAUCCCCGGGCUUAACCUGGGAACUGCAUUUGUGACUGCAUGGCUGGAGUGCGGCAGAGGGGGAUGGAAUUCCGCGUGUAGCAGUGAAAUGCGUAGAUAUGGCGGAGGAACACCGAUGGCGAAGGCAAUCCCCUGGGCCUGCACUGACGCUCAUGCACGAAGGCGUGGGGAGCAAACAGG
Molecule: ribosomal RNA, 254 nt
Filed under: uncultured bacterium
Lineage: Bacteria
Description: partial 16S ribosomal RNA
Rfam family: Bacterial small subunit ribosomal RNA
Source: RNAcentral